AUUCGUGCGUCGUGGACACAAAUGAGUUGCUGCAGAUUCUCUGUGCACUUGGCCUCUCUGUGUCUGUGCGUUGCCCGUCUAUGUAAGGUCAGCAGCUUAAGUUAAGGUGAUGUUAUUGUAGACCGGUAAAGCCAUGGACGUUCAUUGAUAAAAUCAGCGGCAACGCCCUCAGCAGACCAGAAGGCAAUGUAAAGAACCGUCCAUAACGUAUCAUUAUGGAGUAUUCUGGGAGCAAACCUGCAGAUUGCUGUGAAUUGUAAAUGUGAUUUAGAUAACAACUACAACAAACAUAUACUUUCACAGUUAUCCCUACGCGGAUAAAAAGUAUCCCAACAUCGAUUAAACCUAUUCACCGUUCUAAUCUAUAAGAGAGAGAAAACAAAACUAAUAAUUUUGGAGGCUCUGAAAUGUAGGAAUAUAAUCAAUAACACUAGAUUGACGAUCCCAAAGUCGAGAUUUUAACAUUAUUAAAAAUAUAUGGUCGCUAAUAACGCGAAAUAGAACCGCAGAUCAGACUAAGACAAGAGACGAAACGAGCACGAGGUAACAAAGCAGUGAAAAAGUUCCAUUAAAGUAUCUCCAAACCUUGGUGGAUUCCUUUCCAAUCCGCCUCGAUAAGGUCUUAGAUACCAUUCAUUAAUUUUAAGUUUAAUAAGAAUUUAUUAAACACAAUAUAUUUAGUUGAUAAGCAACAUUUUGCCAAAAUACUUAUGCCACCUCUUGAAUCUCUUUACUUUUAAAUUUAAAUAAAAAAUAUAGUAUAUUUCAAUACUACAAAUGAAAAAUUGUUA
Drosophila virilis is the source of this 791-nucleotide long non-coding RNA. RefSeq lists it as uncharacterized. The record is from RefSeq and is a predicted model, not a curated record. NCBI's taxonomy places the organism in Eukaryota, Metazoa, Arthropoda, Insecta, Diptera, Drosophilidae.